Cloeon dipterum is the source of this 2305-nucleotide long non-coding RNA. RefSeq lists it as uncharacterized. The transcript is spliced from 5 exons. Lineage: Eukaryota; Metazoa; Arthropoda; Insecta; Ephemeroptera; Baetidae. The record is from RefSeq and is a predicted model, not a curated record.
CCAAGCAAUCAACAAGAUCGGUGGACCAGGUCUUACUGUUGAAAUUGACGAGAGCCUCGUAGCAAAAAGAAAAAGCAACCAAGGAAGAGUCCCACGACUAGGGGAGAGACAAAUUUGGGUAUUCGGUGGAAUCUGUCGUGAAACAAAGAAAUCCUUUGUAGUUCUUGUGCGCCGUCGAGACCGAGAAACCCUAUUCGCCAUCAUCAGCCAUUUCAUCGAGCAAGGCUCGAUCAUCAUGUCAGAUUGCUGGGCAGCUUAUGGAGGAGUUGAUUUGCUUCUAAGUGGCACACACCAAACUGUAAACCACAGCCAAAACUUUGUUAGCCCCAGAGAUAGAUUGGUUCACACCAACACCGUGGAAAGAUUUUGGAGGGCGGUCAAGGACAGCAUUUCCAGUUUCCAAUUGACCGUUUUGGAGUCUCACUUGCUGCGGGCAUGUUACUUCCUCAAUUACAUGGUGAAUGAUGAUGGCUCAAAAAUAGUCAACAGUGGUCAGCGAUUUGAGGUCAUUUUGGAGACCGUCAAAGAGGUUUUCCCAGGAUACCCGAGCAAUCCUAUCGAAUACCCGCAGCGCAUUUUGAUCAGAGAAGAUGCGCAUCCAUUUCCUGAGUUGGAUUCGGUAGUUUUGGAGGUGAUUUCACAAGGAGCUCAGCAGCAAACGCCACAACUGACUCCUGGAAUUGCACCAAAUCCGGCUAUGCUCAUUCCACCUAAUAACAUGGGUUUGGCAACCUCAAGAAACAGGCCGCAAAUCCAAAGUGCUUCAUGGCUCAUGAUUGAACAGGCUUCUUCCACCAUUCUUUUAGCUUUAUCCAAUAAUCCAGCUUGUUGCGAAAGCAAAAGAAGUUUGGAAGUAUUUUUAAUGAGAAAUGAUGCGAUUAACCUCUUAAUUAUUUAUAAUAUUUUUUUCAAUAGGCUGAACUAAGGCCUUUCAAAGUUUUUAUAGAAGAAAUGAUCACCAAACUCAGGGAGUGCGACACAGUGAUGAUGUCUUCGCAAUACAAUAGUGACAUUGCAGUUGGUCUGCAACAAAUGCUAGAGCCUGGCAUUCUUGAUGGAAUGACACCAAUCAAAACUUUGGGUAAAUAUUAAGGUGGUAUGUUACAGGGCAAUAAUUGAAAAUUAUUUUAAUAAUUGUUGGAAGCCAAAAGCAAUUGAUCGAUAAACAAUUUCCUAAACAAUUUUUGCAAUAAUCAAAAGGACGUUCUUACAGUACAAAUUCAAAUUUUGCCAAUUUUCUACAAAAUUUACAGUACUUGAACAUAUUUUCUUGGCAUAUUCCGAUUCCUCUCGUCGAGAUCUGUCCAACGGUGUAUGCCACUUAUUGGGGAAACUCUUGGUUUUGAAAUAAAAUCGGAUUUCAAGUAAGGCUACAGCACUUACCAUUUGAAAAGCGCGGUAACUUUCCAGCAAAUAUUCUCAGAAUAAUACAGUGCUUUUAAGGUCGAUUUAGGCUUGAACUAAAUCCUAUGGGAUGAGUUUAUGCACUGGCAAUAACAAGCAUUUUCCAAGCUUUUGCAAUAUCAUUCCUCUUUAUCAGAAUGCAGUGAAAUACUGUAUAUAUUUUAUUUUAACACAUAAUACAGGAGCUGGCGACUGCUUCUACAGCGCCCUUUCAUUGUCCCUCAUUGGCCUGAACAGCAAUGUCUGCACUAUGAGAGUUGCUGCAAUUUUUGUGCUUGCAAGGUACUUCUACUCUUUCAACUCUCAAGCCAUGAGGGCAACAAUCGCAGUGCAUCACGGGCCCAGAGGUCCUUCAAGUUUGGCAAUGGCUGUAGCAGCCUCUGGUUCCUUAAACACUCAAGGAAACUUUUUAGCUUACCAGCCAACCCUUUGCCAGAACUUUCACUUCGCAAGCUCGGCAGUAAUUCUCGUGGCGUCCAUUGCUCUGAAAAAGCUGAUAUAUCUCUAUCAGGACCUUCACAACCUUACAAUCAGACUUCCAACCCUUGAAGACUUUUUGACGGACUUCGAGAAUGAUAGACAAAGACUUCAAAGAAACAAAAGAUAUUCAAUGAGCCUCGCUGUCACAGGCUCACAAACAUACGCUGACCCAGUGAGGAUUUAUCUUCAAGACGAACAUUUUAUCAGUCUCCUUCCAAGUCAAGAUUUAAAUUCGGUUGACCUUAAACCUGAAACCAGAAUUUCUCUCAAUGCAAACUUGCUCCAGCGAGAUUUGUAAAGUUUAAUCUUAAAGUGGAUUUGUUUUUACAUAACCAAAUCGAAUUAAAACAUUGUUUUUUUGAAUUUUUAAAAAAAAUUCCAUUUUUGUUUUUUUGCCUCGACUAAAUAUUUUCGAUUAGAC